Molecule: ribosomal RNA, 253 nt
Filed under: uncultured bacterium
Lineage: Bacteria
Description: partial 16S ribosomal RNA
Rfam family: Bacterial small subunit ribosomal RNA
Source: RNAcentral
AACGUAGGAGGCUAGCGUUAUCCGGAUUUACUGGGCGUAAAGCGCGUGCAGGCGGUUCGGUAAGUCGGACGUGAAAGCUCCCGGCUCAACUGGGAGAGGCCGUUCGAGACUACCGGACUCGAGGGCAGUAGAGGGAGGUGGAAUUCCGGGUGUAGCGGUGAAAUGCGUAGAUAUCCGGAGGAACACCAGUGGCGAAAGCGGCCUCCUGGACUGCUCCUGACGCUCAGACGCGAAAGCUAGGGGAGCGAACGGG